This 191-nucleotide unclassified non-coding RNA is filed under the name plant metagenome. Its description in RNAcentral is "partial contains small subunit ribosomal RNA and internal transcribed spacer 1". The stretch from base 1 to 46 matches the Rfam family "Eukaryotic small subunit ribosomal RNA", at positions 1786 to 1831 of the family's 1831-position model. The record is from RNAcentral.
AAGUCGUAACAAGGUUUCCGUAGGUGAACCUGCGGAAGGAUCAUUAAUGAAAUACUAGGAUGCUCUUUUUAGAGGUCCGAACCAUUUUAUUCCACACACCGUGCACACACACUGUUUUUACACCCCAUUUUAUAACACUAUGUAUUGAAUGUAUAAAAGUCUCUUAAUUGAGCAUAAAAUUAAUAUUAAAA